CCCCAGUUUACCAGUCUCCACCUCCACCCUAUCAUCACUACUACGGUUCUCCUCCUCCUCACCACUACUAAGCAAGUGCAUCUAAGUUUUGAGGCAAAGGAGAAGGCAAUCGGUGUUUGAGACCUUCAUGAAGAUGUAGAAGAAUAAGAAUAAAAGCCCAAUGCGAGGAUGAUUUCAAGUUUCUACGUUACCAUUUCUACAUCUAAAUUGACUUUAGCUCCUGAGUUCCAUGUCUAUGGGGUUUGUACUGUUUUACGUACCAUGCAGUACAUGCUUGUAAGGUUUUCUGUCCUGUUGGCAAGCCGCAGGUCCAUAUAAUAAAUGAAUACUAUUUAUAUUACGACA
This is a non-coding RNA of Coffea arabica (coffee), 345 nucleotides long. The record is from RefSeq and is a predicted model, not a curated record. Lineage: Eukaryota; Viridiplantae; Streptophyta; Magnoliopsida; Gentianales; Rubiaceae.